This 522-nucleotide ribosomal RNA is filed under the name uncultured bacterium. Its description in RNAcentral is "bacterial SSU rRNA". It matches the Rfam family "Bacterial small subunit ribosomal RNA", at positions 9 to 526 of the family's 1533-position model. The record is from RNAcentral.
GAGUUUGAUCCUGGCUCAGGAUGAACGCUGGCGGCGUGCCUAACACAUGCAAGUCGAACGAAGCACUGAGAGUUUGAGAUUUCGGUCAAGAACUUUCUUUGACUUAGUGGCGGACGGGUGAGUAAUGCGUGAGCAACCUGCCUUUCAGAGGGGGACAACAGUUGGAAACGACUGCUAAUACCGCAUGAUAUAUUCGGAUGGCAUCGUCUGAAUAUCAAAGAUUUAUCGCUGAAAGAUGGGCUCACGUCUGAUUAGUUAGUUGGUGAGGUAACGGCUCACCAAGACUGCGAUCAGUAGCCGGACUGAGAGGUUGAACGGCCACAUUGGGACUGAGAUACGGCCCAGACUCCUACGGGAGGCAGCAGUGGGGAAUAUUGGGCAAUGGGCGAAAGCCUGACCCAGCAACGCCGCGUGAAGGAAGAAGGUCUUCGGAUUGUAAACUUCUUUUAUCAGGGACGAAGUAAGUGACGGUACCUGAUGAAUAAGCCACGGCUAACUACGUGCCAGCCGCCGCGGUAAUAC